AGCUUUGCGCAGUGGCAUUAUCGUAGCCAAUGAAGUUUAUCCGAGGCGCGAUUAUUGCUAAUUGAAACAAUUGCAAGAAGAUUCCAGUGGGCUGGGUGAGAUAAAGGGCUCUGCUGUACCCAACAAACGUGUAACAGUAAAAACUCCAUCAAUACAAUGUUUUAAUAGGCAGAAGAGCU
Molecule: small nuclear RNA, 179 nt
Filed under: Zalophus californianus (California sea lion)
Lineage: Eukaryota; Metazoa; Chordata; Mammalia; Carnivora; Otariidae
Description: U4 spliceosomal RNA (ENSZCAG00015015736.1)
Rfam family: U4 spliceosomal RNA
About the family: U4 small nuclear RNA (U4 snRNA) is a component of the major U2-dependent spliceosome. The structure of U4 snRNA from yeast and human has been reported.
Source: RNAcentral